Molecule: ribosomal RNA, 430 nt
Filed under: uncultured bacterium
Lineage: Bacteria
Description: bacterial SSU rRNA
Rfam family: Bacterial small subunit ribosomal RNA
Source: RNAcentral
AUUGAACGCUGGCGGCAGGCCUAACACAUGCAAGUCGAGCGGUAGAGAGGUGCUUGCAUCUCUUGAGAGCGGCGGACGGGUGAGUAAUGCCUAGGAAUCUGCCUAGUGGUGGGGGAUAACGUUCGGAAACGGACGCUAAUACCGCAUACGUCCUACGGGAGAAAGCGGGGGAUCUUCGGACCUCGCGCCAUUAGAUGAGCCUAGGUCGGAUUAGCUAGUUGGUGAGGUAAUGGCUCACUAAGGCGACGAUCCGUAACUGGUCUGAGAGGAUGAUCAGUCACACUGGAACUGAGACACGGUCCAGACUCCUACGGGAGGCAGCAGUGGGGAAUAUUGGACAAUGGGCGAAAGCCUGAUCCAGCCAUGCCGCGUGUGUGAAGAAGGUCUUCGGAUUGUAAAGCACUUUAAGUUGGGAGGAAGGGUAGUAACC